This 460-nucleotide ribosomal RNA is filed under the name uncultured bacterium. RNAcentral's name for it is "partial 16S ribosomal RNA". It matches the Rfam family "Bacterial small subunit ribosomal RNA", at positions 338 to 795 of the family's 1533-position model. The record is from RNAcentral.
CCUACGGGACGCUGCAGUGAGGAAUAUUGGUCAAUGGACGAGAGUCUGAACCAGCCAAGUAGCGUGAAGGAUGACUGCCCUAUGGGUUGUAAACUUCUUUUAUAAAGGAAUAAAACGAGGCACGUGUGCCUUUUUGCAUGUACUUGAUGAAUAAGGAUCGGCUAACUCCGUGCCAGCAGCCGCGGUAAUACGGAGGAUGCGAGCGUUAUCCGGAUUUAUUGGGUUUAAAGGGAGCGUAGAUGGGUUGUUAAGUCAGUUGUGAAAGUUUGCGGCUCAACCGUAAAAUUGCAAUUGAUACUGGCAGUCUUGAGUACAGUUGAGGUAGGCGGAAUGCGUGGUGUAGCGGUGAAAUGCUUAGAUAUCACGAAGAACCCCGAUUGCGAAGGCAGCUUACUAAACUUUGACUGACAUUGAUGCUCGAAAGUGUGGGUAUCGAACAGGAUUAGAUACCCCAGUAGUC